Molecule: ribosomal RNA, 333 nt
Filed under: uncultured bacterium
Lineage: Bacteria
Description: bacterial SSU rRNA
Rfam family: Bacterial small subunit ribosomal RNA
Source: RNAcentral
AGGGUUCGAUCCUGGCUCAGGAUGAACGCUAGCUACAGGCUUAACACAUGCAAGUCGAGGGGCAGCGGGAUUGUAGCAAUACAAUUGCCGGCGACCGGCGCACGGGUGAGUAACACGUAUCCAACCUUCCGGUUACUCGGGGAUAGCCUUUCGAAAGAAAGAUUAAUACCCGAUAGCAUAAGAUUUCCGCAUGGUUUUCUUAUUAAAGAUUCAUCGGUAACCGAUGGGGAUGCGUUCCAUUAGAUAGUAGGCGGGGUAACGGCCCACCUAGUCGACGAUGGAUAGGGGUUCUGAGAGGAAGGUCCCCCACAUUGGAACUGAGACACGGUCCAA